AGGGGUAUAGUUCAAUGGUAGAAUAGCGAACUUCAAAUUCGCCAAUACAUGUUCGAUUCGUGUUGCCCUUG
Molecule: transfer RNA, 71 nt
Filed under: Paracoccaceae bacterium
Lineage: Bacteria; Pseudomonadati; Pseudomonadota; Alphaproteobacteria; Rhodobacterales; Paracoccaceae
Description: Rhodobacteraceae bacterium tRNA-Sec
Rfam family: tRNA
About the family: Transfer RNA (tRNA) molecules are approximately 80 nucleotides in length. Their secondary structure includes four short double-helical elements and three loops (D, anti-codon, and T loops).
Source: RNAcentral